This 253-nucleotide ribosomal RNA is filed under the name uncultured bacterium. Its description in RNAcentral is "partial 16S ribosomal RNA". It matches the Rfam family "Bacterial small subunit ribosomal RNA", at positions 524 to 776 of the family's 1533-position model. The record is from RNAcentral.
UACAGAGGGUGCGAGCGUUAAUCGGAAUUACUGGGCGUAAAGCGCGCGUAGGCGGCUUUGCAAGUCGGGUGUGAAAUCUCCAGGCCUAACCUGGGAACUGCACUCGAGACUGCAUGGCUAGAGGGUUGGAGGGGGGACUGGAAUACUUGGUGUAGCAGUGAAAUGCGUAGAUAUCAAGUGGAACACCAGUGGCGAAGGCGAGUCCCUGGACAACACCUGACACUGAGGCACGAAAGCUAGGGGAGCAAACAGG